Non-coding RNA from Planctomycetes bacterium GWB2_41_19, 97 nucleotides. Lineage: Bacteria; Pseudomonadati; Planctomycetota. The record is from Rfam.
UUACGAUAAAGGCGAACCUAAAGCAAUCGGGGGGACGCAAAGUAAAGUGUCUUUAAAAGAUCAAGAAGUAUCAGGGAAAGACAGCCUUACUGCCGAA